Molecule: small nuclear RNA, 107 nt
Organism: Pteronotus mesoamericanus
Lineage: Eukaryota; Metazoa; Chordata; Mammalia; Chiroptera; Mormoopidae
Source: RefSeq, a predicted model, not a curated record
GUGCUCACUUCGGCAGCACAUACACUAAAACUGGAAUGAUACAGAGAAGGUGAGCAUGGCUCCUGUGCAAGGAUGACACUCAAACUUAUGAAGCAGAAACAUGUCUC